AGAUUGAACGCUGGCGGCAGGCCUAACACAUGCAAGUCGAGCGGUAGAGAGGUGCUUGCAUCUCUUGAGAGCGGCGGACGGGUGAGUAAUGCCUAGGAAUCUGCCUAGUGGUGGGGGAUAACGUUCGGAAACGGACGCUAAUACCGCAUACGUCCUACGGGAGAAAGCGGGGGACCUUCGGGCCUCGCGCCAUUAGAUGAGCCUAGGUCGGAUUAGCUAGUUGGUGAGGUAAUGGCUCACCAAGGCGACGAUCCGUAACUGGUCUGAGAGGAUGAUCAGUCACACUGGAACUGAGACACGGUCCAGACUCCUACGGAGGCAGCAGUGGGGAAUAUUGGACAAUGGGCGAAAGCCUGGUCCAGCCAUGCCGCGUGUGUGAAGAAGGUCUUCGGAUUGUAAAAGCACUUUAAGUUGGAGGAAGGUUGUAACUUAAUACGUUGCAACUUUGACGUUACCGACAGAAUAAGCACCGGCUAAACUUCGUGCCAGCAAGCCGUA
Molecule: ribosomal RNA, 498 nt
Filed under: uncultured soil bacterium
Lineage: Bacteria
Description: bacterial SSU rRNA
Rfam family: Bacterial small subunit ribosomal RNA
Source: RNAcentral